This 739-nucleotide long non-coding RNA is filed under the name Equus caballus (horse). Its description in RNAcentral is "lncRNA (ENSECAG00000045163.1)". The record is from RNAcentral. Lineage: Eukaryota; Metazoa; Chordata; Mammalia; Perissodactyla; Equidae.
GUGAGGCGGUGACUAGAGGAAUGACCCUGGGCGGGUUUGCAAUUUAAGCUGUUGGUGGAGGACAGAUUAGUUAAGGGGAGGAGCGGGGCCUCAGCUUGUAGACAACGGGCCGCCGUUACGGAAAGCCAGAAGGAAAAGGAUAAGGACCUUUAUGUGAUUGGCAGUGGGCAUCCGAAGAAGCUAGAAUCCUAAAGUAUUCAGGAUGCCAAAUCAACUGAUUUAGACAGCUUCGUUUAAACUGGCCACAGACGAAGGACUGAGGAUGAUAAAUUGCACAAAUAUCUGUUGAAUGAGAACUAGAAGGAGGAUGACUUCAAGAAAACAACUUUGUGAGACUUGAGAUGUUCAAAAAUAUAAGCUCAGAGAAGUUCAAGACUUGCUACGAAUCGUCAAGGAGCAGAGGCAAACUUGAACUCAAGCUUUAUGUUGAGACUCUCAAAUGCUCUGUUCUUUGGCCAUCAUUCUGUCUAUUCUGGAUUUCAGCUCCUCCUGUCUACUUGAGGACCCUUCUCCGUCAAUUAUUCUCUUUUUGUUGUAUCUUCAACCUCUCACUCUGCUGGUUUCUUGCCAUUAGCGUUCUCAUUUGUUUAAAGUGUCUCCCUCAUACAUAUCCUGUCUUCCUCUAGCUUCUACCCAAAUUCUCCUUCCUUUCACUAAAGGAAAUUUUUGAGAAAAUUUUGUGUGCUUGCUGUCUCUACUUCCUCACCUCCAAGUUAUUCCUCAAUCAUUUGUAAUCAGG